ACUGCGAGUGAAGCGGGAAAAGCUCAAAUUUGAAAUCUGGUAGUCUUUGGCUGCCCGAGUUGUAAUCUAGAGAAGUGUUAUCCGCACUGGACCGUGUACAAGUCUCCUGGAAUGGAGCGUCAUAGAGGGUGAGAAUCCCGUCUUUGACACGGACUACCAGCGCUUUGUGAUGUGCUCUCAAAGAGUCGAGUUGUUUGGGAAUGCAGCUCUAAAUGGGUGGUAAAUUCCAUCUAAAGCUAAAUAUUGGCGAGAGACCGAUAGUGAACAAGUACCGUGAGGGAAAGAUGAAAAGAACUUUGGAAAGAGAGUUAAACAGUACGUGAAAUUGUUGAAAGGGAAACGCUUGAAGCNAGUCGCGUUGGCCAGGGAUCAACCUUGCUUCUUGCUUGGUGUACUUUCUGGUUAAUGGGUCAGCAUCAAUUUUGACCAGUGNAAAAAGACUAGGGGAAUGUGGCAUCUUCGGAUGUGUUAUAGCCCUUGGUUGCAUACACUGGUUGGGAUUGAGGAACUCAGCACGCCGCAAGGCCGGGUUUUUACCACGUUCGUGCUUAGGAUGCUGGCAUAAUGGCUUUAAUCGACCCGUCUUGA
Molecule: ribosomal RNA, 588 nt
Filed under: Entoloma sepium
Lineage: Eukaryota; Fungi; Basidiomycota; Agaricomycetes; Agaricales; Entolomataceae
Description: eukaryotic LSU rRNA
Rfam family: Eukaryotic large subunit ribosomal RNA
Source: RNAcentral